This 446-nucleotide ribosomal RNA is filed under the name uncultured bacterium. RNAcentral's name for it is "partial 16S ribosomal RNA". It matches the Rfam family "Bacterial small subunit ribosomal RNA", at positions 338 to 795 of the family's 1533-position model. The record is from RNAcentral.
CCUACGGGUGGCAGCAGUCGAGAAUCAUUCACAAUGGGGGAAACCCUGAUGGUGCGACGCCGCGUGGGGGAAUGAAGGUCUUCGGAUUGUAAACCCCUGUCAUGUGGGAGCAAAUUAAAAAGAUAGUACCACAAGAGGAAGAGACGGCUAACUCUGUGCCAGCAGCCGCGGUAAUACAGAGGUCUCAAGUGUUGUUCGGAAUCACUGGGCGUAAAGCGUGCGUAGGCUGUUUCGUGAGUCGUGUGUGAAAGGCGCGGGCUCAACCCGCGGACGGCACAUGAUACUGCGAGACUAGAGUAAGGGAGGGGGAACCGGAAUUCUCGGUGUAGCAGUGAAAUGCGUAGAUAUCGAGAGGAACACUCGUGGCGAAGGCGGGUUCCUGGACAUUAACUGACGCUGAGGCACGAAGGCCAGGGGAGCGAAAGGGAUUAGAUACCCGGGUAGUC